Molecule: ribosomal RNA, 506 nt
Filed under: uncultured bacterium
Lineage: Bacteria
Description: partial 16S ribosomal RNA
Rfam family: Bacterial small subunit ribosomal RNA
Source: RNAcentral
AGUGAACGCUGGCGGUAGGCCUAACACAUGCAAGUCGAACGGCAGCACAGGAGAGCUUGCUCUCUGGGUGGCGAGUGGCGGACGGGUGAGGAAUACAUCGGAAUCUACUCUGUCGUGAGGGAUAACGUAGGGAAACUUACGCUAAUACCGCAUACGACCUACGGGUGAAAGCAGGGGAUCUUCGGACCUUGCGCGAUUGAAUGAGCCGAUGUCGGAUUAGCUAGUUGGCGGGGUAAAGGCCCACCAAGGCGACGAUCCGUAGCUGGUCCGAGAGGAUGAUCAGCCACACUGGAACUGAGACACGGUCCAGACUCCUACGGGAGGCAGCAGUGGGGAAUAUUGGACAAUGGGCGCAAGCCUGAUCCAGCCAUACCGCGUGGGUGAAGAAGGCCUUCGGGUUGUAAAGCCCUUUUGUUGGGAAAGAAAUCCAGCUGGCUGAUACCCGGUUGGGAUGACGGUACCCAAAGAAUAAGCACCGGCUAACUUCGUGCCAGCAGCCGCGGUAA